RNAcentral lists this transfer-messenger RNA (352 nucleotides) under Acidiferrobacteraceae bacterium. It matches the Rfam family "transfer-messenger RNA". Rfam says of the family: Bacterial tmRNA, also known as 10Sa RNA or SsrA, is named for its dual tRNA and mRNA-like properties. Its role is to liberate the mRNA from a stalled ribosome. Lineage: Bacteria; Pseudomonadati; Pseudomonadota; Gammaproteobacteria; Acidiferrobacterales; Acidiferrobacteraceae. The record is from RNAcentral.
GGGGGCGACACGGCUUCGACGUGGAUUGCGAAACCUUCGGGGCAUGCCGAGGCGCAGAUUACCUCGUUAAUACAGCUGCUAACUUUAUAGUUGCCAACGAAGACAACUACGCUCUAGCCGCUUAAACCCGGUUAGCCAUUUGCCCGUUUUGCCUGUGGGGUGGAACAAAUGGUCAUUUACACAGGAUCGCGUGAGGUUGUGCCUGCCAAUCCAGCGCUAAAUCUUGUCAGGCUCAGCUUAUCGGUUUCCUGUCUGUCGGGUGCCGAUCGGUGAACUUAAAGACAGACUAAGCAUGUAGAACCGGAUGGCGGAGAAUUUGCGGACGCGGGUUCGAUUCCCGCCGCCUCCACCA